This 515-nucleotide ribosomal RNA is filed under the name uncultured bacterium. RNAcentral's name for it is "bacterial SSU rRNA". It matches the Rfam family "Bacterial small subunit ribosomal RNA", at positions 8 to 518 of the family's 1533-position model. The record is from RNAcentral.
AGAGUUUGAUCCUGGCUCAGAUUGAACGCUGGCGGCAUGCCUUACACAUGCAAGUCGAACGGCAUCACGGCAGCAAUCCUGGUGGCGAGUGGCAGACGGGUGAGAAAUAUAUCGGAACGUGCCCAGUCGUGGGGGAUAACGUAUAGAAAUUUACGCUAAUACCGCAUACGAUCUAAGGAUGAAAGCGGGGGAUCGCAAGACCUCGCGCGAUUGGAGCGGCUGAUAUCAGAUUAGGUUGUUGGUGAGGUAAAAGCUCACCAAGCCGACGAUCUGUAUCUGGUUUGAGAGUACGACCAGCCACACUGGGACUGAGACACGGCCCAGACUCCUACGGGAGGCAGCAGUGGGGAAUUUUGGACCAUGGGCGAAAGCCUGAUCCAUCAAUGCCGCGUGCAGGAAGAAGGCCUUCGGGUUGUAAACUGCUUUUGUACGGAACGAAACGGUCUGCCCUAAUACGGUGGGCUAAUGACGGUACCGUAAGAAUUAUCACCCGCUAACUAAUUGCCAGCAGCCGC